AGCUAAUACUUGCUUUAGCACUCUUGAUUAAGUUCUUGAGUGUGUACUUGUUAAGCCUUUUAAGAAAAAAGUUAUUAACUUAAGGAAUUAUAACAAAGAAGUAACACGUAAUGGAUCCGUCCAUUUUUAGUGUGUAUCAAUCGAGUUUCUGACCUAUCAGCUUUUGAUGUUAGGGUAUUGGCCUAACAUGGCUAUGACGGGUAACGGGGAAUUAGAGUUCGAUUCCGGAGAGGGAGCCUGAGAAAUAGCUACCACAUCUAGGGAAGGCAGCAGGCGCGUAAAUUACCCUAUUCUAAAGAAGAGAGGUAGUGACAAGAAAUAACAAUACAAGGCCAAUCUGGCUUUGUAAUUGGAAUGAUGGGAAUUUAAGACCUUCCCAAAACUCAAUUGGAGGGCAAGUCUGGUGCCAGCAGCCGCGGUAAUUCCAGCUCCAAUAGCGUAUAUUAAAAUUGUUGCAGUUAAAACGCUCGUAGUUGAAUUUCAAAGAAUCGAUAUUUUAAGUAACGCUUUUAGCUUAAUCCACAUAACUGAUACUACGUAUCGACUUUGUGCGCAUUUUGCUAUUAUGUGUUCUUUUAAUUAAAAUGAUUCUUUUUAAGGUCUUUCUCUUGCUUCGGCAUUUGAAGAUCUUGUUACUUUGAGUAAAUUAGAGUGUUCAAAGCAAACAGAUAUAGCAUUGCGCGUUUGAAUACUACAGCAUGGAAUAACAAAAUUGAACAAGUCAGAAUUUUGUUCUUUUUUCUUAUUUUGGCUUAGUUACGAUUAAUAGGAGUAGCUUGGGGGCAUUUGUAUUCAGAUGUCAGAGGUGAAAUUCUUAGAUUUUCUGGAGACAAACAACUGCGAAAGCAUUUGCCUAAAAUACUUCCAUUAAUCAAGAACGAAAGUUAAGGGAGUGAAGACGAUCAGAUACCGUCGUAAUCUUAACCAUAAACUAUGCCGACUAGGCUUUGGAUGAAAGAUUUUAAAAUAAGA
RNAcentral lists this ribosomal RNA (972 nucleotides) under Plasmodium cynomolgi. RNAcentral's name for it is "SSU rRNA". It matches the Rfam family "Eukaryotic small subunit ribosomal RNA", at positions 162 to 1077 of the family's 1831-position model. The record is from RNAcentral. Lineage: Eukaryota; Apicomplexa; Aconoidasida; Haemosporida; Plasmodiidae.